GGGCAGAGCAGGGUGGGAGACUCCUUCUCCAGACAAAGGGGAGGGACAAAGGCUGGGAGGAGGGGGAGCAGGGGUGUCGCAAAAGACAAUUUAUUGCCCUUGUCUUACGGCUUCCCAAAUUGCUUACGGGAUAAUGGAGCUGCAGGGCCUGGAGCAGAAAGAUGAAAGACACAUGUGACUGGUCCCUAUCAGAUUGGACAGGGCAGAGAGAGGACAUUUCCGUCACCACAGAAUGUUCUUUUGCACGGCACUGGUCUAUAGCAGUGUUUCUCUACUCUGGCUGCUCACUGGAGUCCCCUGGAAGCUUUUAAAAAGUCCUGAUGCCUGUCUGGGACUCA
Molecule: long non-coding RNA, 338 nt
Filed under: Mustela putorius furo (domestic ferret)
Lineage: Eukaryota; Metazoa; Chordata; Mammalia; Carnivora; Mustelidae
Description: lncRNA (ENSMPUG00000026074.1)
Source: RNAcentral